AGAACGAACGCUGGCGGCAGGCCUAACACAUGCAAGUCGAACGCUCGUAGCAAUACGGGAGUGGCAGACGGGUGAGUAACGCGUGGGAACGUACCCUUCGGUUCGGAAUAACCCGGGGAAACUCGGGCUAAUACCGGAUACGUCCGCAAGGAGGAAGAUUUAUCGCCGAAGGAUCGGCCCGCGUCGGAUUAGCUAGUUGGUGAGGUAACGCCCACCAAGGCUACGAUCCGUAGCUGGUCUGAGAGGAUGAUCAGCCACACUGGGACUGAGACACGGCCCAGACUCCUACGGAGGCAGCAGUGGGGAAUAGUUGGACAAUGGGCGAAAGCCUGAUCCAGCCAUGCCGCGUGAGUGAAGAAGGCCCUAGGGUUGUAAAGCUCCUUCAGCGGGAAGAUAAUGAACGGUACCGACGGAAGAACGCCCGGACUAACUUCGUGCCAGCAGCCGC
RNAcentral lists this ribosomal RNA (448 nucleotides) under uncultured soil bacterium. RNAcentral's name for it is "bacterial SSU rRNA". It matches the Rfam family "Bacterial small subunit ribosomal RNA", at positions 26 to 518 of the family's 1533-position model. The record is from RNAcentral.